Molecule: ribosomal RNA, 1382 nt
Filed under: metagenome
Description: bacterial LSU rRNA
Rfam family: Bacterial large subunit ribosomal RNA
Source: RNAcentral
CAUGGCGAGAACCGUAAGGUUCGUAAAGUCGCAGACGCCACGCUGCCGAGAAAAUCCUCUAAGGAGUCUUUUGGGUACCCGUACCGCAAACCGACACAGGUAGGCGAGGAGAAAAUCCUCAGGUGCGAGUGAGAACCCUCGUUUAGGAACUCGGCAAACUCACCCCGUAACUUCGGAAGAAGGGUGCUCCGUUAGCGUCAGCGGCUUCGCGCCGCGAAGCGUGAGGGAGUUGCAAUAAAGAGGCCCAAGCAACUGUUUACUAAAAACACAGGGCUAUGCUAAGUCGAAUACGACGUAUAUGGCCUGACGCCUGCCCGGUGCCGGAAGGUUAAAGGGAGAGGUUAGCCGCAAGGCGAAGCUUUGAGCUGAAGCCCCGGUAAACGGCGGCCAUAACUAUAACGGUCCUAAGGUAGCGAAAUUCCUUGUCGGGUAAGUUCCGACCUGCACGAAUGGCGUAAUGAUUUGGGCGCUGUCUCAACGAGGGGCACUGCGAAUUUGUGGUACCGGUGAAGACGCCGGUUGCCCGUCAUAAGACGAAAAGACCCCGUGCACCUUUACUACAUCCUAGUAGUGAAUGCUGACGCAGUAUGCGCAGGAUAGGUGGGAGGCUUUGAUCUCGGGUUCUCGGACUCGGGGGAGCCAACGGUGAGAUACCACCCUUACUGCUUCGGCGUUCUAACCUCGUUCUGUCAUCCAGAACAGGGACACUGCUAGGUGGGUAGUUUGACUGGGGCGGUCGCCUCCUAAACUGUAACGGAGGCGCGCGAAGGUUCGCUCAGGCUGUUUGGAAAUCAGCCAUAGAGUGCAAAAGCAUAAGCGAGCUUGACUGCGAGUCCUACAAGACGAGCAGGUGGGAAACCAGGCUUUAGUGAUCCGGUGGUUCCGCGUGGAAGGGCCAUCGCUCAACGGAUAAAAGGUACGCCGGGGAUAACAGGCUGAUCCUAGCCAAGAGUUCACAUCGACGCUAGGGUUUGGCACCUCGAUGUCGGCUCAUCACAUCCUGGAGCUGUAGCAGGUUCCAAGGGUUCGGCUGUUCGCCGAUUAAAGUGGUACGUGAGCUGGGUUUAGAACGUCGCGAGACAGUUCGGUCUCUAUCUAUGAUGGGCGCAGGAGAUUUGAGUGGGGCUGACCUUAGUACGAGAGGACCGGGUUGGACGGACCUCUAGUGUAUCGGUUAUCGCGCCAGCGGUAGCGCCGAGUAGCUACGUCCGGAAGGGAGAAACGCUGAAGGCAUCUAAGCGUGAAACCCUCCACAAGAUGAGAUCUCCCUGGAUCGCAAGAUCCCUGAAGGCUCCUGGAAGAUUACCAGGUGAUAGGUCGGGUGUGUAAGCGUAGUGAUACGUUGAGCUUACCGAUACUAAUCAGCCGUGAGGCUUGACCAU